GCCCAGGCCUCCUACAGCGCGGUCAUGACUACCCCAGCUACCGGGAUCCCGCGUGGGUCCAGUCAGUACCAUCACGUGAUGAUGCAGUGCAGGGACAAGGUCUUCAGGGUCUACAAGUCCAUCAAUAACUUCCUUCACCAGAGGUCGCGAAGGAUAUAUGACAAACAGAGCCAUGCCUAUAAGGUGCCAAAAUGGACAACUCUUACCUCAGCCUCUGAAAACUCAAGAUCACCAAGUAUGUGGUCUCUCUGGGGUCACGGCUCUCUGAUUGUGCUUACAGGUCCAGGAUCUGGUCCUGACACGUCCGCGGGGCCUGUGUGCAGAACCAGCAGUUUCAUCUGGAAGGCUGGACUCCUGUUCCCGGGUCACCAGAUACGAGGAGACACAAGAAUUGGGGUCAAAAAAUCCUCUUCUGAAAAUAUCUAACUCUCUGAAGGCCUGUUCAGCCAGUUUUCCCAGAGCACAGAAGGCCUCAUUCGUGAUCUCCACCCUAAACUCCUUUCAGGGGUUGUUGGAGAUGAAGAAAGGGAUACAAGGAGGAUCAACCAAGAUUCCACAGUCCAGAUUCUAAUUGAAGAAGAGCUGGACUAAAUCAUUCCUACAGCCUCGUGCCCUCAGAAUACUAGUCACAUAGCUGAGCUUAUGGCCUGAAAUGCCACUACCCAAACUAUAGGCACACAUUGUGUUUUGUGAAAUGAGUGCCAGCGCAUGAUUUGUCCAAGGAGAUCACCCGAUGACACACGCUUUCAUCAGGGCUGACCAUCCAAGGGCCUAUGUAGGGAUUCGCACAACGUCUGUGCUCCAGGAUAGGAGAGGAGAAAAGAGAUGCAGGUUUCACUGCGACUGUAUGUAACUAGGGGAACGACUCCCUCAAACACGACCCAUACAGGAUUCUCAGUCAUUCUCAGUCCCCUGCAGCAGUGGGAGCCGUCUUGACUUUACCUCCCUCUUCCCAGUACUUCCCUCUGUGCUUGGCUGCAGUCGGGACUCAGUGUUCCCUGAAGUGACUGUGUCUGGUCUACAACUGUCUGUGUCUCAGUGCACGCUCUCUUCCUUCCACUGGGGCCGCUAGGAGGAUAGAUGAUGUGAUCUCAGAUGUAGUGAUCCGGGUCUCCACUGUUUAACCACUAAUUUAGCAGUUUCCAAUCCAGACUCAGGAGAGGAAUCUCAAGAAGGAAAGUUGGGUUCAUUAUUAACUUCUCCGUGCCUUUUAGAAAUACCAUUUCUAAUAUAUUGCCCUGUAAUAGGAACUGAUUCAAGGGAGAACUUUCUGGAAGCCUCUGUCAGUGGUUUUUGAAGUUUCCCUAGACCGUGAAGAAGAAAUGUGAGAAGAAAGGGAUGGAGAGAGAGGGAAAAGAGAGAGGAGGGAAAGGUGUAUAAUGAGAAAAGAUUUAUUUAUGAUAUGGCAAUUAUUUUUUAUCUCUGAAUUAAUGGAAUUCUUUACUGACUGCAUUAGAUGUGCCAAGCUCUGUGUUAAGGGCUAAAAUCAGGAGGAAAGUGCAAUGUGUUACCUUCUUUUUCUCAUGCAACUCUUGUUCCAGAUUUACAUUUUGAACACAGUAAGAUGCCUUUAUCCAAGCUCUGAAGGUACUAUGGCCUCAGGUAUCAAAAUCUCCUAAGACUCUUCAGACCAGUUCAGUCUCUCCCCAACCCCCUUCUUUUUAAUCAUAUUCCAGCCCACCAAAGGGCCAUGUUACAUAGAGAGGCCUAAUACUUGGAACAAACAGAGCCAGGGAGGGCUGUUUGCAAAGGAGGAACCCAGGUUCCUCUAGGUUUUUACUAAUGUCCCCUGUUCCUCUUCACAUAAAGAUUCUCCAUCUCAUCGCCUCCUGAUGCUGGAAACUUGAGUCUUUGAAUUUCUUACUGCUCAAAAUUCUGCAGAACGUUAAAGCAGUUUGCUAAGUUCUUCUUGAGUUUUUUCCUUUGCUCCACUUGCAUUGAAUUUACUUUCUCUAUUUUUAAUCUGGAUCUGAUUAUUGCUUCCACUCCAUGCCAACUAACAACCUGAAAAAACUCAGAGGGCUUUCUGUAAACUCUAUCAAAGAAUUACAAAAGAAUGAAUACCUGGGGUUGCAUAAGGGAUGCCAACCUCGGUUUCUAGAAUCUUGCGUUUAUUCACAUCUGUGCUAUUUUCUACACACAACUGUCAUUGACAUUCCCAGUGCUUGCAUUUCAUUAUGUAAAAUGAGAAUUUUAUCUUUGUAAACCA
Molecule: non-coding RNA, 2209 nt
Organism: Vicugna pacos (alpaca)
Lineage: Eukaryota; Metazoa; Chordata; Mammalia; Artiodactyla; Camelidae
Source: RefSeq, a predicted model, not a curated record